This 500-nucleotide ribosomal RNA is filed under the name uncultured bacterium. RNAcentral describes it as "bacterial SSU rRNA". It matches the Rfam family "Bacterial small subunit ribosomal RNA", at positions 31 to 518 of the family's 1533-position model. The record is from RNAcentral.
GAACGCUGCGGCGCGCUUAACACAUGCAAGUCGCGCGUGAAGGACUUCGGUCCGAGUAAAGCGGCGCACGGGUGAGUAACGCGUGGAUGAUCUACCCAUGAGUUAGGAAUAACGGCUGGAAACGGUCGCUAACACCAAAUACGCUCCGAUUUCAACUUCGGGGGAAAGGUGGCCUCUGCUUGCAAGCUACUGCUCAUGGAUGAGUCCGCGUCCCAUUAGCUAGUUGGUGGGGUAACGGCCCACCAAGGCGACGAUGGGUAGCCGGUCUGAGAGGAUGACCGGCCACACUGGGACUGGAACACGGCCCAGACUCCUACGGGAGGCAGCAGUGGGGAAUAUUGCGCAAUGGGCGAAAGCCUGACGCAGCGACGCCGCGUGAGGGAUGAAGGUCCUCGGAUCGUAAACCUCUGUCAGGAGGGAAGAACCGCCACGGUGCUAAUCAGCCGUGGUCUGACGGUACCUCCAAAGGAAGCACCGGCUAACUCCGUGCCAGCCGCAGC